Molecule: long non-coding RNA, 1356 nt
Filed under: Monodelphis domestica (gray short-tailed opossum)
Lineage: Eukaryota; Metazoa; Chordata; Mammalia; Didelphimorphia; Didelphidae
Description: lncRNA (ENSMODG00000049102.1)
Source: RNAcentral
CUUCUCUGUUUUUGUUGCAGUUUUCACCAUCCUUGACCAUGUCAUUAUACCACUCAGAAAGGUCUUAUUGUUGUUCAGUCAUUUUUCACCCUGUUCAGGGUUUUCUUGGCAAAGACAACAGAGUGGUUUGCCAUUUCCUUCUCCAGUUCAUUUGACAAUGGAGAAAAUUGAGCCAAACAGGGUUAAGUGACUUGCCCAGGGUCACACAGCUAGUGUCUGAGGUCAGGUUGAACUCAGGAAGAUGAAUCUUUCUGACUCCAAGCCUGGCACUAUCCACUGUACCACCUAGCUGCCAAGAAACUCUAGGAGUUCCCUACUUACUGCCUUCAGGAUAUAAUUCAAACUCCUCCCUUUGGCAUUUAAAGUCCUGAACAAUUUGUGGUCAGGACCUUUCUAGGUCCAUUAUAGCUAACUCCCUGCACACCCUCCACAUGCCAGCUGAAAGGGACUCCUGCUCUUACUUAUAAAAGACAUUGCUUCUCCUGUCCCCUUUGCCCUUGUACAGGCUGUCCCCUCGUGCCUGUAUGUACUCCUUGGCAUCUUGUAAGACUCAGCUCAAAUAACUGUAAGCUACACAAUGAUCCCUUCAAGUGCUAGUAUCUUCCUAGUCCCCUCAAUUACUUUGUAUAUAUUUUGUAUUUCUUUACUUGUAGACAUGCUUCAUGGACUCUAAGCUGAAUUCCUCGAGGGCAAGGACAUUGUCAUUUUUCCUUUCCUAUCCCUUAGUGUCUAGCUAGGAGGUAAGUACAAGUUGGAGUCAACCAGCCUGAGGCAAUUAGAUGACUCAAUGGACAGAAAGUCAGGUCUAGGAUGGAAGGUGCUGGGUUCAAAUCUGCCUUCAGACAUUUUGUAGCUGUGGGACCCACUUACACACUUCUGCUUUGGAGCCAAUAUUGAUUCUAAGACAGAAGAUCUUCAUCUAGUAAUUGUGAUCUAGCAGCAUUGGUGAACCUUUUAGAGAUUCUGUGCACAAACUACACCUUCAAGCUGCCUGUGAGCCCCCAGCAUUGCCCAAGACAACAGAAGGAGGAAGUGCACAUUGGGCAGCUGGGCAGAGGAGUGGAGCAUGCAAAAAAUGAGCAGCCCUCUCCAGCACCCCAGGGCAUGGGUACCACAUCUUUGCCAACACAGUCGUAUGGUAUCUCAGUAUUACAGGUAAGGAAACUGAGGCAGACAAUGAUUAAGUGACUUUCCCAGUGUUUGUAGGCAGAAUUUGGACUCAGGUCUUACUGGCUCCUGGUCCAGUACUCUAGCAGUCUGUUUUGAACAAGAAAUUAUGCCCCAGGCAUAAAGUAAAUAUAGUCAGACCCAAUUCCUAACUCAUAAAUGUUUGAAUAAACAAAUAAAUGAGUUUCA